UACGAAGGGGGCUAGCGUUGCUCGGAAUUACUGGGCGUAAAGCGUGCGCAGGCGGUCUUUUAAGUCAGAUGUGAAAUCCCCGGGCUUAACCUGGGAACUGCGUUUGAAACUGAAAGGCUAGAGUGUGGCAGAGGGGGGUGGAAUUCCACGUGUAGCAGUGAAAUGCGUAGAGAUGUGGAGGAACACCGAUGGCGAAGGCAGCCCCCUGGGCUAACACUGACGCUCAUGCACGAAAGCGUGGGGAGCAAACAGG
This 253-nucleotide ribosomal RNA is filed under the name uncultured bacterium. RNAcentral's name for it is "partial 16S ribosomal RNA". It matches the Rfam family "Bacterial small subunit ribosomal RNA", at positions 524 to 776 of the family's 1533-position model. The record is from RNAcentral.